GGGUCAGUAGGUUGGUCGUGCCACCGGUACGUACUGGUCUCACUGAUUCCUCCUUCCUGAAGAACCGUAAUGCCAUUAAUUUGGUGUUGCGGGGAAACAGGACUGUUACUUUGAAAAAAUUAGAGUGUUUAAAGCAAGCUAACGCUUGAAUACAAUAGCAUGGAAUAAUGAAAUAGGACGAUCGAUCCUAUUUUGUUGGUUUCUAGGAUUGACGUA
Molecule: ribosomal RNA, 216 nt
Filed under: Glomeromycotina sp.
Lineage: Eukaryota; Fungi; Glomeromycota
Description: partial small subunit ribosomal RNA
Rfam family: Eukaryotic small subunit ribosomal RNA (bases 40-216)
Source: RNAcentral